This 20-nucleotide microRNA is filed under the name Spodoptera frugiperda (fall armyworm). RNAcentral's name for it is "sfr-miR-10495-3p". The record is from miRBase by way of RNAcentral. Lineage: Eukaryota; Metazoa; Arthropoda; Insecta; Lepidoptera; Noctuidae.
AGGGAUAAUCGCCGGCUGAU